UACAUGAGUGGCAAGCGUUAUCCGUAAUUAUUGGGCGUAAAGGAUGCGUAGAUGGUAAAAGUAGUUGUAAUUUACUAUAACAGAUAAUUGGGUCUUUUACAAAACCUUUUUACUUGAGUUUUAUUAUAAGUUUAUAAAAGUUAUAAAUUAGUGAUAAAAUACUUCUAGUUUAUAAUUAUUUUCAAUGGCGAAAGCAAUAAACUGAAUAAAACUGACAUUGAGGCAUUAAAGUAUGGUUAUCAAAUAGGAUUAGACACCCUACUAGUCCAUACUAUAAACUAUGAGUAUUAAAACUAAUUUGGUUGAAGCUUACGCUUAAAUACUCCGCCUGGGCAGUAUAGUCGCAAGGUCGAAACUUAACAGAAUUGGCGGGAAUUUGUUUGAAUGGUGGAACAUGUGGUUUAAUACGAUAAUCCGCGCAAAAUCUUACCAAGAUGGUUGAAACUGUUAAUUACUUUCUAAUCAGGGUCUUUAUUUUAGUUUCGACACGGUACUGCAUGGCUGUCGUCAGUUCGUGCUUUAAGGCAUGGAAUUAAGUUUUUUAACGAACGAAACCCCCCUAAUUAGUUUUAAAAUAAUUUUAAUUUUUUAAAAUAAUUUUAAUUUUUUUAAAAUUAUUAAUUAUUAAAUUUGUUUUUUCUAAUUUUAAGAUUUAUCAAUGUUUUUUAAUUUAAAAUUGUGUUGAUUAAAUGGAGGGAAGGGCUGAAGUCAAGUCAUUAUGGUCUGCGUAUCUUGGGCUACACACGUGUUACAAAGGUAGAGACAAAGAGUAGCUAAAAAGCAAUUUGGAGCAAAUCUCUAAAAACUACCCUAAUUCAGAUUGUCCUCUGAAACUCGAAGGCAUGAAGAUGAAAUCAUUAGUAAUCGUAGAUUAGUACGCUACGGUGAAUGAGAAAUCAAAUUUUGCACACACCGCCCAUCACGCUCUGAGAAUUAAAAUGUUUCGAAGAACUUUUUUUUCCAUUACCGGAAACUUGUUAUGGUUAUAUAUUAUUAUAAAGAAUAACUAAACUUUUUUGAUUUAAUUCAAAAAACGUACAAAGUUGAGUUAUUAGGACAUUUUAGUUAUUUGAGUGAAGUUG
RNAcentral lists this ribosomal RNA (1082 nucleotides) under Colpoda henneguyi. Its description in RNAcentral is "SSU rRNA". It matches the Rfam family "Bacterial small subunit ribosomal RNA", at positions 524 to 1488 of the family's 1533-position model. Lineage: Eukaryota; Ciliophora; Colpodea; Colpodida; Colpodidae. The record is from RNAcentral.